Molecule: ribosomal RNA, 689 nt
Filed under: Streptomyces sp.
Lineage: Bacteria; Bacillati; Actinomycetota; Actinomycetes; Kitasatosporales; Streptomycetaceae
Description: bacterial SSU rRNA
Rfam family: Bacterial small subunit ribosomal RNA
Source: RNAcentral
CCUCCUUCGGGAGGGGAUUAGUGGCGAACGGGUGAGUAACACGUGGGCAAUCUGCCCUGCACUCUGGGACAAGCCCUGGAAACGGGGUCUAAUACCGGAUACUGAUCAUCUUGGGCAUCCUUGGUGAUCGAAAGCUCCGGCGGUGCAGGAUGAGCCCGCGGCCUAUCAGCUUGUUGGUGAGGUAAUGGCUCACCAAGGCGACGACGGGUAGCCGGCCUGAGAGGGCGACCGGCCACACUGGGACUGAGACACGGCCCAGACUCCUACGGGAGGCAGCAGUGGGGAAUAUUGCACAAUGGGCGAAAGCCUGAUGCAGCGACGCCGCGUGAGGGAUGACGGCCUUCGGGUUGUAAACCUCUUUCAGCAGGGAAGAAGCGAAAGUGACGGUACCUGCAGAAGAAGCGCCGGCUAACUACGUGCCAGCAGCCGCGGUAAUACGUAGGGCGCGAGCGUUGUCCGGAAUUAUUGGGCGUAAAGAGCUCGUAGGCGGCUUGUCGCGUCGGUUGUGAAAGCCCGGGGCUUAACCCCGGGUCUGCAGUCGAUACGGGCAGGCUAGAGUUCGGUAGGGGAGAUCGGAAUUCCUGGUGUAGCGGUGAAAUGCGCAGAUAUCAGGAGGAACACCGGUGGCGAAGGCGGAUCUCUGGGCCGAUACUGACGCUGAGGAGCGAAAGCGUGGGGAGCGAACAGGA